AACCUCUUUCAGCACAGACGAAGCGCAAGGACGGUAGUGCAGAAGAAGCACCGGCCAACUACGUGCCAGCAGCCGCGGUAAUACGUAGGGUGCGAGCGUUGUCCGGAAUUAUUGGGCGUAAAGGGCUCGUAGGCGGUUUGUCGCGUCGGGAGUGAAAACGCCGUGCUUAACACGGCGCUUGCUUUCGAUACGGGCAGACUAGAGGUAUGCAGGGGAGAACGGAACUCCUGGUGUAGCGGUGAAAUGCGCAGAUUUCAGGAGGAACACCGGUGGCGAAGGCGGUUCUCUGGGCAUUACCUGACGCUGAGGAGCGAAAGUGUGGGGAGCGAACAGGAAUAGAUACCCUGGUUGUCCACACCGUAAACGUUGGGCGCUAGGUGUGGGGCCUAUUCCAUGGGUUUCGUGCCGCAGCUUACGCAUUAAGCGCCCCGCCUGGGGAGUACGGCCGCAAGGCUAAAACUCAAAGGAAUUGACGGGGGCCCGCACAAGCGGCGGAGCAUGCGGAUUAAUUCGAUGCAACGCGAAGAACCUUAUCUGGGUUUGACAUACACCGGAAAGUCUCAGAGAUGAGGCUCUCAUUUGUCGGU
RNAcentral lists this ribosomal RNA (587 nucleotides) under Nocardioidaceae bacterium Ri3Pw_6330. Its description in RNAcentral is "bacterial SSU rRNA". It matches the Rfam family "Bacterial small subunit ribosomal RNA", at positions 428 to 1030 of the family's 1533-position model. The record is from RNAcentral. Lineage: Bacteria; Bacillati; Actinomycetota; Actinomycetes; Propionibacteriales; Nocardioidaceae.